RNAcentral lists this long non-coding RNA (784 nucleotides) under Mus spicilegus (steppe mouse). Its description in RNAcentral is "lncRNA (ENSMSIG00000025658.1)". Lineage: Eukaryota; Metazoa; Chordata; Mammalia; Rodentia; Muridae. The record is from RNAcentral.
AGAAAAGUUGCGUCCAGUACUCUGUUUUGUUUCAGCUUAGUGGGAAGCAGAGCUCAGAUUUACCCAGGCUUGGGGAUCUGUAAACUCCCCUACCUGUGAGGUGAGACUGGAUCCUGAGAUGCUGGCUCUCUACUUCUACACAGUUCAUCAUGAAACAUUGGCCUGGGCAGAAGACUUGCAUUGUGGCUUCAACUCAGGGACCUGGAGGUGCCAUGUACAGAAAAAGGAAAAUUCACAUUUUGCAACGCUUGUUAUAUGUCAACUGUGACAUCACAUUCAUAAUGUAUUCUCUGUGCAUUUAUUAACCUCCACUAUAUACCUGGUGAUAAGCUGUAUUCUGACUGCAAGGAGGACAGCAAGAUGUACACAACAUACAUAAUUUGUACUGAAUCCCCAGGAGAGGAGGGACUUUCUGGCUGGCUAAUAUACAGAGGAUUACAAAGUCCCUGUAAUUUUUCCAAGACAUAUUGAGGACAUAUCUCAUCUCUGUAAGGAUGAGAGGAUGGAAGCUUGCUCAUCAUACAUGCUGGUAUCUAGGGGAUUCACAGAGGAAUUCUAAGAAUGAGAAUCUUGGCCUUUCUCAACUUGUAAGUAGAACAUGGACUAGUUUGCCAUGGAUACAAACUUGAAAGUGACUGUAACAAGCAAAGAAGAUGAGGCGUGCAGGUUCAGACAUUGGGCAGCUUGCCAAACCCAUGGGAAAACAAUUGCCAGCUUUUCCACUUGGUUAGGGGUAUGCUGGGUUCUCUACCUUGGAGCUUCUGGAUCAGGGACCUUCAUGUAA